This is a long non-coding RNA of Oreochromis aureus, 452 nucleotides long. RefSeq lists it as uncharacterized. NCBI's taxonomy places the organism in Eukaryota, Metazoa, Chordata, Actinopteri, Cichliformes, Cichlidae. The record is from RefSeq and is a predicted model, not a curated record. The transcript has 3 exons.
UAACUUCCUGUUUUUCAGUCUGGCUGAGCACUUAGUUUGUGAGUCAAAAGUGGCCUUGCUUUACAAACCUUCAUUAUUAAAGUACAUAAAACAAUAUAAUCAGAAAAUAAGCACUAAGAAUAUAUUAAUUACAUGACAGCUUCCAGAACAACAGCACCUCUGAGUGUGUGUGUUUACCUCCCAGACUAACUCCACCCUGACAUCAAGAAGAUGGAGGAAAAGGAUGGAGCAGAAUCUGCAGCAUCCAGCUGUGUGUCUGUGAGGAGUGACUGGUCCAAAGGAGGAGUUCCAGACUUCAGUAAUGAACCUGCAGCAACAAUAGCUUCUGCACAGUGUGGAGAAAGAUCCAGAAGCAGAGCUGGACUGCAGACAGCCAGUCAGAGCAGCUGUGUACAAACAGAUGUUGGUCUGCAGGAGGUUUUAGAUGAACAUAAGAUCAGUCUGAGGAGGAG